CCUACGGGCGGCAGCAGUGAGGAAUAUUGGUCAAUGGGCGCGAGCCUGAACCAGCCAAGCAGCGUGAAGGAUGACUGCCCUACGGGUUGUAAACUCUUUUUAUAUGGGAAUAAAACGUUCCACGUGUGGGAUAUUGUAUGUACCAUAUGUAUAAGGAUCGGCUAACUCCGUGCCAGCAGCAGCGGUAAUACGGAGGAUCUGAGCGUUAUCCGGAUUUAUUGGGUUUAAAGGGAGCGUAGGUGGAUUGUUAAGUCAGUUGUGAAAGUUUGCGGCUCAACCGUAAAAUUGCAGUUGAAACUGGCAGUCUUGAGUACAGUAGAGGUGGGCGGAAUUCGUGGUGUAGCGGUGAAAUGCUUAGAUAUCACGAAGAACUCCGAUGGCGAAGGCAGUUCACUGGACUGCAACUGACACUGAGGCUCGAAAGUGUGGGUAUCAAACAGGAUUAGAUACCCCUGUAGUC
This 460-nucleotide ribosomal RNA is filed under the name uncultured bacterium. RNAcentral's name for it is "partial 16S ribosomal RNA". It matches the Rfam family "Bacterial small subunit ribosomal RNA", at positions 338 to 795 of the family's 1533-position model. The record is from RNAcentral.